CAAUAGCUACUUGCAUCAUUCUAAAUAUGAUGCAAGAUCGACUAUGUCGAAUAAAAUUCUAGGUAGAAUUAUGAUAAUGACAUUGUCUGCCUAUGUGUCUUGACCAAAUUACGUGCCAGCAGUCGCGGUAAUACGUAGAAGACUAGUGUUAUUCAUGUUUAAUCGGUUUAAAGGGUACCUAGACGGUAAAUCAAGCCUAAAAGGAAAUAAAUGAAGGGACUAAUUUACUAGAGUUACUUAUGAGGGGGUAUUAAAGUACUGCUGGUGUAGAGAUGAAAUUCUGUCAUACCUCUUUUCAAUAGAAAAAUAAUGGCACAGGUAUAGGCGAAAGCAUCCCCUUAUGUGAUAACUGACGUUGAGGGACGAAGGCUUUGUGUAGCGAACAGGAUUAGAUACCCCAGUAGUCAAAGCAGAAAAUGAUGAAUGUCAUAGAUUAGAUAUAUAAGUUUAUUCUAUAAAUGAAAGUGUAAGCAUUCCACCUCAAGAGUAAUUUGGCAACAUUGGAACUGAAAUCAUUAGACCGUUUCUGAAACCAGUAGUGAAGUAUGUUGUUUAAUUUGAUGAUCCGCAAAAAACCUUACCACAAUUUGAAUAUUUAUAUCUUUUGUUGUUUUUCUUUUUAACUUUCUUCUGAUUUUCUACUUAAAAGAAAACAAUAACAAGAAAAAAGAGGCAAUAAGAU
RNAcentral lists this ribosomal RNA (682 nucleotides) under Flavocetraria cucullata. RNAcentral's name for it is "SSU rRNA". It matches the Rfam family "Bacterial small subunit ribosomal RNA", at positions 376 to 1034 of the family's 1533-position model. Lineage: Eukaryota; Fungi; Ascomycota; Lecanoromycetes; Lecanorales; Parmeliaceae. The record is from RNAcentral.